This 809-nucleotide ribosomal RNA is filed under the name uncultured bacterium. Its description in RNAcentral is "bacterial SSU rRNA". It matches the Rfam family "Bacterial small subunit ribosomal RNA", at positions 8 to 809 of the family's 1533-position model. The record is from RNAcentral.
AGAGUUUGAUCCUGGCUCAGGAUGAACGCUAGCGACAGGCUUAACACAUGCAAGUCGAGGGGCAGCGAGGGAGUGGCAACACUUCUGUCGGCGACCGGCGCACGGGUGAGUAACGCGUAUGCAACCUGCCCUUCACAGGGGGAUAACCGGGAGAAAUUCCGACUAAUACCGCAUACGUCCUCCGGGGGCAUCCCCGGGGGAUGAAAGAGUUAUCGGUGAAGGAUGGGCAUGCGUGAUAUUAGGUAGUUGGCGGGGCAACGGCCCACCAAGCCCACGAUAUCUAGGGGUUCUGAGAGGAAGGUCCCCCACAUUGGUACUGAGACACGGACCAAACUCCUACGGGAGGCAGAAGUGAGGAAUAUUGGUCAAUGGACGAGAGUCUGAACCAGCCAAGUAGCGUGAAGGAUGACUGCCCUAUGGGUUGUAAACUUCUUUUAUACGGGAAUAAAGUUAGCCACGUGUGGCUUUUUGUAUGUACCGUAUGAAUAAGGAUCGGCUAACUCCGUGCCAGCAGCCGCGGUAAUACGGAGGAUCCGAGCGUUAUCCGGAUUUAUUGGGUUUAAAGGGAGCGUAGGCGGGUUGUUAAGUCAGUUGUGAAAGUUUGCGGCUCAACCGUAAAAUUGCAGUUGAUACUGGCGACCUUGAGUGCAACAGAGGUAGGCGGAAUUCGUGGUGUAGCGGUGAGAUGCUUAGAUAUCACGAAGAACUCCGAUUGCGAAGGCAGCUUACUGGAUUGUAACUGACGCUGAUGCUCGAAAGCGUGGGGAGCAAACAGGAUUAGAUACCCUGGUAGUCCACGCGGUAAACGA